Poecilia latipinna (sailfin molly) is the source of this 636-nucleotide long non-coding RNA. RefSeq lists it as uncharacterized. The transcript is spliced from 3 exons. NCBI's taxonomy places the organism in Eukaryota, Metazoa, Chordata, Actinopteri, Cyprinodontiformes, Poeciliidae. The record is from RefSeq and is a predicted model, not a curated record.
UCCUAUACUUCAUGAAAUAUUUCAUCCUGUUUGAUUAUUAUGAAUUUUGCCAUGUUCUACGAACUAACGAGACAAUUAGUCCAGUUGUUUAUUGAAGGUUUAAAUAUUAGCUGUAGAGCGCCACAGCAAAGGGAAACUAAUGCUGAUAAACGGGUGAAAAACAACCCACUAAUAUUCUACUUUUCCUCGCUCUCUGUGUCGGUUUUACUCUACAAGCUUCAGUCUCGGUUCGGCUGAAGUGAACUGGCGACGUUCGAGUGCAGCUAGCCAAGAGGACCAGAGACCGCUCCAAAACCAGGAAAUGGACUACGGCGAAAGGCAUUCUGGAUUUACAAUUUCCACUUCAUCAAGACCAGUAAUCUCUUGGAAAGAUGGUGGGAAAGUUUAAGAACGGACAAAAGCUGCCAUGACGGGUCGAGUUACUGAACGCUUUUCUGCAGGAUUCAUGGCCUUCUUGUCACAGAAUAGAGGACACACGUCAUCUUAUUUAAGCUCACAUCUUCAGCUGCCCUCAUUUUCGCUCCCCUCGUCCCGGCGAUGGUGAGCUGUCCUCAGAUGACUUGCCUGUUUGAGCUUAGCGAGCGUCCGUCUGUGCUCUAGCCGGAGCCAGACAGAUGGUGACCACAGAGGGUAAGA